This is a non-coding RNA of Coturnix japonica (Japanese quail), 7898 nucleotides long. The record is from RefSeq and is a predicted model, not a curated record. NCBI's taxonomy places the organism in Eukaryota, Metazoa, Chordata, Aves, Galliformes, Phasianidae.
GUCUCUUUUUUCUUCUGGACAGGAUCUAUGAAAACGACCCUUUUACUGAGUAGAUUUGUUUACAAAUCUGGAAAGCUCAGACCUCUUUGGAUUCAUUUAAGAAGCAAAACUCCCUCCUCCCCAGGUUCUUUUAUUUCAGACCCUGUGUGGACAGUAAUGACCGCACGUUUCCGAUUGCCUGCUGGCAGAACCUACAAUGUACGAGCAUCUGAGCUGGCACGAGACAGGCAGCAUACGGAGGUGGUCUGCAACAUUCUUCUCCUGGAUAACACUGUACAAGCUUUCAGAGUUAAUAAACACGAUCAGGGACAAGUUCUGUUGGACAUAGUCUUCAAACAUCUCGAUUUGACAGAGAGAGAUUACUUUGGUUUACAGCUGGCGGAUGAAUCCACUGAUAACCCUAGGUGGUUGGAUCCAAACAAACCUAUCAGGAAACAAUUAAAAAGAGGAUCUCCUCACAGUUUGAACUUGAGAGUUAAGUUUUUUGUAAGUGACCCAAACAAGCUUCAAGAAGAAUAUACAAGGUACCAGUAUUUUUUACAACUUAAGCAGGACAUUCUUACUGGAAGGUUGCCCUGUCCGUAUAAUACUGCUGCUCUUCUGGCUUCCUAUGCUGUUCAAUCUGAGCUGGGAGACUACAACCAUUCAGAAAACCUGCCAGGCUACCUCUCAGACUAUUCUUUCAUCCCUGGCCAGCCUCAAGACUUUGAAAAAGAGAUAGCAAAGUUACAUCAGCAGCACAUAGGGUUGUCUCCUGCAGAAGCAGAGUUCAAUUAUCUCAAUACAGCACGUACCUUAGAACUCUAUGGAGUUGAAUUGCACUAUGCAAGGGAUCAGAGUAACAAUGAAAUAAUGAUUGGAGUGAUGUCAGGUGGAAUACUGAUCUUUAAGAACAGAGUACGAAUCAACACCUUCCCGUGGUUGAAGAUUGUAAAGAUUUCUUUUAAAUGCAAGCAGUUUUUUGUUCAGCUUAGGAAAGAAUUGCAUGAAUCCAGAGAAACGUUACUGGGCUUCAAUAUGGUGAAUUACCGAGCAUGUAAGAAUCUGUGGAAAGCCUGUGUUGAACAUCACACGUUCUUCCGAUUGGACAGACCGCUCCCCCCUCAGAAGAACUUUUUUGCACAUUAUUUCACUUUGGGUUCAAAGUUCCGGUACUGUGGGAGAACAGAGGUCCAGUCUGUGCAGUAUGGCAAAGAAAGAGCAAACAAAGACAGGGUAUUUGCAAGAUCCCCCAGUAAGCCCUUGGCACGGAAAUUAAUGAGUGGGAUGGACUGGGAAGUAGUGAGCAGGAACUCGCUGUCUGAUGAUAGGUUAGAAACACAAAGCCUACCAUCACGGUCUCCACCUGGAACCCCAAAUCAUCGCAACUCUGCCUUCACUCAAGAAGGAGCUCGGUUACGACCCUCCUCAGUUGGACAUUUAGUGGACCAUGUAGUUCACAAUUCACCAAGUGAAGUGUUUGUGAACCACAGAUCUCCAUCUUCCACCCAGGCUAACAGCAUAAUACUGGAAUCAUCACCAUCUCAAGAAACUCCUAUAGAUGGGCAGCCUCCUGCAUUACCACCCAAACAAUUUAAAAAGAACAGUUGGAACCAAAUUCAUCAUUCACACUCACAGCAAGAACUGGAUAACCACAUCAAUGAAACAUUUGAUGUCCCUGUAUCUCCUGAAAAGUCCACACCCAAUGGUGGUGUUCCCCAUGACAAUCUUGUUAUGAUCAGAAUGAAACCAGAUGAAAAUGGAAGGUUUGGCUUCAAUGUAAAGGGUGGAUAUGAUCAGAAGAUGCCAGUGAUAGUGUCCAGGGUAGCUCCAGGAACACCUGCUGAUCUUUGUGUCCCUCGUUUGAAUGAAGGAGACCAGGUUGUACUGAUCAAUGGCAGGGAUAUAGCAGAACACACCCAUGAUCAAGUUGUUAUGUUCAUUAAAGCUAGCUGUGAGAGGCACUCAGGGGAACUUGUGCUCCUUGUUCGACCCAAUGCUGUCUAUGAUGUUGUGGAAGAGAAGCUGGAAAGCGAACCUGACUUCCAAUACAUCCCUGAGAAAUCUCCGCUUGAUGGUGUUCAUCAAGAUGAUAAUGCUCUGAGGGAAUCCAUGAUUCAGCUAGCAGAGGGGCUUAUCACUGGAACAGUUUUAGCGCAGUUUGAUCAACUGUAUAGGAAAAAGCCUGGAAUGACAAUGUCUUGUGCCAGAUUACCUCAAAACAUUUCCAAAAAUAGAUACAGAGACAUUUCGCCUUAUGACGCUACACGGGUUAUUUUAAAAAGUAAUGAAGAUUACAUCAAUGCAAAUUAUAUAAAUAUGGAAAUCCCUUCUUCCACAAUAAUAAACCAGUACAUUGCCUGUCAAGGUCCAUUGCCGAACACUUGUCCUGAUUUCUGGCAGAUGACUUGGGAACAAGGCUCAUCUAUGGUUGUAAUGUUAACAACACAAGUUGAACGAGGCAGGGCAGACUCCCUGCUCUAAAGCUGAUCAUGAGGCUUCUGACAUCACUAUCCCACUGCAUGCCGGGAUGUCUCAGUGGAGCAGGAAGUCUGCAAAUCUGGCUGCUUUAUAAAGAAUCGCCAGGUUAAAUGCCAUCAGUACUGGCCGGAGCCAUCGGGAAGCUCAUCAUAUGGGAAUUUCCAGAUUACCUGCCAUUCAGAAGAAGGAAAUCCUGCUUACGUCUUUCGAGAAAUGACACUGACUAAUCUGGAGAAAGAGGAAAGCCGCCAGCUAACCCAAAUUCAGUACAUAGCAUGGCCUGACCACGGGGUUCCUGAUGAUUCCAGCGAUUUCCUAGAUUUUGUGUGUCUCGUGCGAAAGAAGCGGGCUGGCAGAGAGGAACCUGUUGUUGUUCACUGCAGUGCUGGGAUUGGACGGACAGGAGUUCUUAUCACUAUGGAGACGGCAAUGUGUCUCAUUGAGUGCAAUCAGCCUGUUUAUCCAUUAGACAUUGUACGAACCAUGAGAGAUCAAAGAGCCAUGAUGAUCCAAACACCUAGUCAAUACAGAUUUGUGUGUGAAGCUAUUCUGAAGGUGUAUGAAGAAGGAUUUAUUAAACCUUUACAAGCAUCACCACAUAAAUAAAGAGCAAAAAACCUAGGAUGUAAACUGAGGAACUCUGUCCUCUAAAUAAUGAACUGGCAGCACUCUUUGUGCCAUAACACUGCUUGCAGGAAAUGAUAGUGAAGUACAGCAAAGAAUUGACAAAGGACUUUGAAAACUUCAGCACUGUUGCACUUUACAUUGAAACAAAAUCAGUCUCUGAAUCUUCAUCUGUUUGAAGACUUUAUUUUCGUGCUUUGCUCCGAACAAACCAUAAACUGAAAGAACUAAAUGUGUUCAGGGUAAUCUACGAGAUUUCAUUGUAGUGCCAUAUACUGCGCUUCUGGUUGAAUUGCUACAAACAAGGCUUGGAAUUAUUUCACUCUGUUUUACACCCAUGUCUCUUAAAAAUGAAAAACAAACGAAAAAAUACACUAAGCCAUGGUCCUUCUCCAGUGCUAGGUUUAUUUACUAUGUACAGACUCUCACUGUUUUGUUUUUUACAACAUUAGCAAUAUUGCCGAUACUAGAUAGAUACACACUGCCUACUGAUGCAGCACACUUUGUCCUACACCCUUCUUAGAGACCAGCUGGUUGUUAGAGGAGAGCUGGCGUCCGUGUUAACCCAGCAGUAGCUGCAUAAUGCCCACUUACCAGCAUCUUGUUUUAAAAAAAAAACAAAACAAAAAAACAAAAAAGAAAAGGAAAAAAAAAAAAAGGAAAAAGGAAAAAAAAAAAGAAAAAAGAAAACAAUAAUAAUAAAAACUUAAAAAAAAUAAAUAAUAAUAAACAGCAUUUCUUUGACACAGCUUGUGUGUCAUACACUGGUGUAUUCUGAUUCAUGUGACUUAAGAUUACGUGAUGGGAGCUAGUGCAUGCAUUAUGUCUUAACCCCUUAAGUGCCUUGAGACUUACAGCGUACAUCCAGUGAAAGGCACUCAUGAUUCUGUGGGGGUGGUCUUGUCCUGUUGUGUUUAUCUUAAUGGGUUCAGAUUUUAACAAACGGCCCUUGGUGCUUGGAAUAUGUUACUGCAAGGGGUCAUGGAAAUACCAUUCCCUCUUUCCUUAUACAAUUUACCUGCGUGCUACGCUCAGUAGCAAAAGCACCUCUGCCAACUUAAUGAAUGAGCAUUGUUUGCUGCUGCAUUGUAAUUAUGUGAAAAAUCUGACACAUUCCUUUAUUCCUUACAACUAGUAACUUACUAGCAGCCUACUAUGAAAUGCUAGUAGGUCAUUAGAAGCUGAUACUUUGUUUUAUCCUUUUAUUGAGAAUAGCUGUCUUACUCGAUUAGAACAUAACUCUUUAAUAGCACUGAUAAUUAAGUUGAACUUACAAUCAGAUGUGAUUUAAUUCCAUUAUUUGCUAACCAAGUAUUUUUUAAAUCCUCAUAGUUGAUUUCAAGCCAUUUUCGUACAGGUCUGCCUUUUAUUUUUCUAAUUGUUUGGGGAGGGUGGGAAGGGAGGCAAACACUGUAAUGCUGACCCACGACUCCUUUAAUUCCGUGAUGGUCCUGGUCACCCUCUGUCAUGCUUGUGCAAAGUUGUUCCCAUUGAUAUGGGUUGCCUCUUAUUUAAGUAGGUAUAAGAUUUGUAACAAGCGUCUGAUACAGUAUCUGAGCUCACUCUAAAGACAUAGAUAGGUUCCGUAUUUUAAUAUUUUUCCAAUAUAGGAGAAGCCCAAGUCAGAAGUGAGGUGUCCGGUGUAACAUACUGUAAGAAAACAAAAUCAGUCACUUCUUUGACUGCCUGCAACAAUGUAACUGUGUCCUCUAUUUAAAAACCUUAAUUUAUUGGUUUCCUGAAAAUGUCUAUCCAGUAAAUUUUGUUAUAAGCUAUAUAAAGCAUAGAGCUGGAAUGGAAAGUUCUACACUAAAGUUUUUAACUAUUGAAUGAUUAUAUAAUAUACGGUGUUCUGUGGACAUCUGAAAGAGAUCAGCUAUGAAAUAUGAAGUGAAAAGGGAUUCAGGCAAAGUGAAAUCCUGGCUUACGACUUAGUAAUACACAUGAACCACAAUGCCAAAUGGAAAAGAUAGUUUUAAUUAUUUUUAGAAUACAAGAUAAUAUUAGGUGGCCUUUGGCCCUGUUACUUAUAUUUCUAGAUUUGAUGCCUAAAUCAAUGUUUUUCCUCAGUGAGAAAUGAAUCUUAUGAGUAUCUCUGGAUCUGAUAAAUGGGAAAAGAGUGAUAAAGUAGCUUUAAUCUCAGUUUCCUUUUAAGCCAUUUGCAACAACAACAACAUAUUCUGUAUUAAAUUUAAAGCUUUAACUUUCGUAUGAUGAGAUUAUUAGCUGAGACGCCAGCUAACUGGAAGCUUAUUUUAAAGUCAGCACUUAAUAACUCAAGUGUAAAAUAAUUCAUCCAUUAUGUCGAAGUACACUUUUUUCACAGUCAAAUUGUAAAGAAAAAUAUCAUUUGCCCCUUUUUUUCCUGAGGGGAAUGAGAAACUUAAGUUUAUAGCAACAUGAAUGGUGUUGGUAUUUCACGUAUUUUAACUAUUGGUAUGUGAAGCUGCCAAAGCAGUUUGAGUUCAGAAUACCCAUUUAUACCACAAUUACACGUGGGGUAUUUGCUGGUCAUCUAUUGUUACUGCUCUGAUUUCAAAUACGGGCAAGAAUAUGAACUUAGAACCUUCCUCUGCAUUGACUUAAGCUGAUCUGCUGUUGUGUAUUAAGUAGUUGUACGGGGGGGGGGAGGGGGAAAUGAAGCAAGCUCAGAUAACUGGUCAUAAGUUCAUCAAUUUAGCUUCUAGAAAGCCAGCAAGAUGAGGAACCAAUAGCUGCUUGGGAAAGAGAAGGCUGAAGCUUUCCUGCACCAUAAAUCAUUCACUCAGAUGUUUGUUGUGGUAUAAAUGGCCUCCCCGAUAUUUUUAUAUGGCCAGAAAAAUCCAAACUGCUCAAUAUUUGACUUUGGGUUAUGAAGAUCUGUAUCAUUGCUCAGACUUUCUGAAGAAGUUUUUGUAUAUGUUUCAUGCUGUACAAAACAUGAAUGUAUCUUUUGGACGAAAUGAACUGGAUGUGAUUGGUGUUACGACUGUUGGAUUGGACAAACAAUUAUUUUCGUACCAUUUGAGUAGGAAAAAUAAUGGGUGGGUGGAGAAAGAGAAUGUUUGUAAUGCUUCCAUGGUACGGAUCCGGCUUAAAAAAAAAAAAGAAAUAAUGAAGUUUCCAUUGUAAAUAAGAGCAAUAUUAUGAGAGUUUUGUGCCAAUGUAUAACAUCGAGACUUUUUCCUUUUCAGUUCGAAUUCAAAACCACCUCUACCAUCUCUUGUUUAAAGUGGAUGUGAAGGUUUUUCUGUCAGCAGAAAAGUAGGAGGUUCUUGAGAAGGCUUUGCGUGUUUGGGGGGAGGGGGGCACUUUUAACUUUUGCUAAAUAUGAAAUAAGAUGCAGGUAAAUCACCAACAGAUUGUCAGCCAAUCCCUUCUGAGAAAAGCUGCUUUGGAUAUACCGGAGAGCUGAUAACUUAGUUGAUAUCCUGAAUUUGAAAGCAUUCAGUGAUUUAAACAGUGUCUGAAGCAGUGAGUUGCUGCUUUUGUACGUUCUGCUCUUAGACAUUCUCUCCUGCUCCUGGACAACAGUCUGGUUGUAUUGUACCAUGUUUAAUGCUAACUGAAGGCUCUUCCAUGUUUCUGUUAAAUGUUGGAAGCUUACAUCUCAUAGGUAAAGCAACAGCGCUUCAUCUAGAACAGCUGAUUGUGGCCUGGUGCACCACCUGAGAGAGAAGGGGUGAGAAAGCAGUUGGGAGAUGAAGGUACGUGAGGGGUUUGUUGUGGAACCUGGCAGCUUUCCUUGGAGAGCUUCUGAAAAGCUCUUUUGGUACCAGUGGGACGCAGCAGUACUGCCCAGGGUGAUGGGAAGUAGAGAAGGUCCUGCAUAGCAAUGCCAGACCUCCAGGCAUGCCACAGAGCUGAUUUAUGUGAUAUUUUUAUGCUUGUGUAGGUGUGAGUGAUGGUUGGUGGCUCAGGGAAUUAGUACGAGCAUGGUAAAUACUCUACAGAUGCACCAUCCACAAAUCUCUGUGCAAAAGCAUGUUGUCCAAUGCUUAUGGUGUAGUUGUGACUGUAGAGUUGUUACUGCAGGCAGUCUGAAGGACCCUCAGCCCUGAGGAUAAAGGAAGGAAUUGGAAUGUUGUCCAAACUCGAGAUCUGCUUAUUUGGAUUUUCACACAGGUCAAGAAUGGUGCCUUCUUAUGGCAUUCUCAGUCUUUUUGCACUGUGCGGGUCCCCAGCAGGAUGGGUCUGUUUGGUAACUGUAGAACCCACCUUUUGUCUUGAGACUGGAAAAGCUGCUUUUCAUUGCUGCCUUCAGCGCUGGGGUCAAACAGCAAAAUCUGAUGGAAAGAAGUUCAUUGAUUAAAUGCUUGCAUGAAAUUGCACAGAUUGUAAUUAGUGGUGAUUGGGAAGAUGUUACAAGGAGAAAAAAGCGGGUUUGUCUUAAGGUAACAUUUUGUCCAAUCUCAUUUAUCUCUAUCCCUGCUGCAUUUCAGCUCUGUGCUUGCUGCUACCACAAGUGUGCAUCUUCAGCUUGUUAGGCUUCAGUGCAUAACCUGCGAGCUCCAGCUGCUCACUGGGGCAUCAUUUGCUUAUCAAAUGGUAAGAGUUUCAGGAGAAAACAUAACAAGUACCCCCUCCUUCUUUCCUCUGAACCAUCUAGCCUAAAAAAUGCACUAAAAUACCCAUCAUUCCUGUAUUCUGCAAGAUGAUGUUUGGUUUCACGGGCUGGCUGACAGUUUGCAGGUGGUGCUAUUUCAUGUUUAGCAAGCUCACUUGUUUUAAAGGGCGAUUUUUCUCAAAGUGUUUUGAUGUUUGAAUAGUAGCACUUUAUCUCAUGCUUACUACUGACUGAACUGUCGGAGAGAAAUAAAUUGGGUUUGGAGAGA